AACCUGGAUUGCAGCUCUAAUUUGAUCAAACAACGGGUGUUGACGAAGAACCGCCAAUCGACUAGGAUCGGAACCAGCCCCAAGAGUAGAUGCGUGCAUAGCUGGGGUAUAAUCAAACUGAGUUGCAGCAGAUUCAGCGCGAUUAGGAUCAUUGAAUGCCGCCCGUAAUGCAUCUUGUGCAGCCGUUUUCUCGAAGCCCAUACUGCAUAAACUCUCAACCAACUAAAAUUUAGGCGAUGCAACAAAUUUUGAUAACAUAGUGUGUGUUUGUAUGGUAAAUUAAUGUGUAAAUUACAUUAAUAUCCGACGAUAAAGAAGUAUCCUCUUGUUUUUCUGAUGCAGUUAGCUCUUCAGGAUCUUGAGAGAACAAGUUAAUUGAGUUAUCUGUCGCUUGGAGGUCUGUAGAAAUCUUGUCGUCUUUCAAAUCUUUUGCCGCAUCGUUCGAACUUGUACAUUUGUCUUUUGAAGCCAAAGUGGUGGAAACUGGUUUUUUUUUCUAAAAGAAAACAUUUACAUAAACAAGUUUAAGGAUAAAAAAAAACGUACUUUAGAGAUCAUAGCAA
Hylaeus volcanicus is the source of this 563-nucleotide long non-coding RNA. RefSeq lists it as uncharacterized. The transcript is spliced from 3 exons. Lineage: Eukaryota; Metazoa; Arthropoda; Insecta; Hymenoptera; Colletidae. The record is from RefSeq and is a predicted model, not a curated record.